ACGCAGCACCCGAUCCAUGAGAUGCUGAAACGUGGCCGGGGCCCCAAACAAGUGUGGUAAAUUGGUACAAACCGUACGGGGUGGAGAAUGCCGUUUUCUCCUUGGACUCUGGCGACAGAGGAAUCUGCCAGUAGCCCUUGGUUAAAUCCAGUGUCGUGAAGAAACGUGCAGUGCCUAGCCGGUCCAGGAGUUCGUCGACCCGGGGCAUUGGGUAAGCAUCGAACCGUGACACGUCAUUCACCCUGCAAUAGUCCACGCAGAACCGUACAGAUCCAUCCUUCUUAGCCACAAGGACGAUGGGGCUGCACCAGGCACUGUUGGACUCUUCUAUUACCCCCAACUCCAACAUACUAGCCAAUUCCCUCCGAACCACUUCUUUCCACUGCUUCAAUUGAUCAAAUGUCUGAAGUGUAUUCCCAUACACAUUCACACACAUAAUAAAACUAGUUUUAUAUGGUCAUCUACACAUACAUAUUAUACAUAAGCUUAUACGCAUGAAUAGGAUAUAUGAACUGUAUCAAUUUGAUUCUUUUGGCUUGUUUUUAUUUACAUACUCUGAAAGAGUUGAGAUCAUGAUUCUCAUUGGAGGAUGAUGCAUGCAUGAAGCGUCAUGAAAGAAGGCACAUUUAAAGAAAUAUAAUCGGAUUAGAGUAACGAGGCACUUAAAAUGAGCCUAUACAUUUUACCAACACGCAUUUAACGUUAACUUGUCUGCGAUACUUUGUUGGGCUUGUAGCCUCGCUACAAGGAGCGGUGUCAGUUUUUGCCAUGACUAUAAUUAAUUUCAUAUCGCACAUUUGCCUGAGGUCUUUACAGUCUGUACACAUGUGACAUCCUCUGUCCCGAAACCCUCAGCACAGGACAAACUCCCCAAACAAUGACAAGCCCUUUAAAGGUUUCUUCCCUUUAUUCUCCCCAUCAGAGAGACACAGGAGUAUCCUCCCCGGGAUGGACAGACUGAGAUGGACUUACUGAAUGAACAACGUAAAAUAUGUAUAAUACGUUCAAUUCAUGCGACAAAUGAUUCAAAUUAACAUCUCAUCAUAUGAGUGGAGAAAAGUGUAUUUGCUGUUAUACUGUUAAAAUAUCCUGGUUUUCGGUGAUCGAUUCUUCCGCAUUCCCUGAUGACUGACAGCUGGUUCAAACUAACGAGACUGUCCCCCUCACACCUGAAACCCAUCAGGGUAUGACGACCUGAAGGCCUUCAUAAGGGUGGGAGACACACCAUUGAGGGGAAGAGAGAGAUGAGCUGCAGGUUCGGCCUGAUGCAAAAGACCAGACCAAUACAGGGACUGAGAAGACGAGGCAUUAUUUAAGUUUUACCGGCGAAGAGCGACCGAAGCCCAAGUUGCAGGCUGGCCUUCAGCGAAACAAACUACCUGGGGUACACCAUUGAAAGGGGUUUGGUCAAGCCCCAGGAAGCCAAGUUGCGGGCCAUACAGGACUGGCCACAGCCCAUCACCAAGAAACAGGCUCACUGAAUGGUGAGGUGGAACCCUGCGGCGGAGGCGGCCUUCAGCAACCUGAAGCGAGCUCUGUGCUCUGGUCCAGUCCUGGUGGCACCAGACUUCCAGAAGGAAUUAAUCGUCCAGGCGGACGCUUCAGAGGGCUGGCAAGAGCCACAGCAAUGCGGAUGCGCUCUCCAGACGUGACGCCUUCUGCACCUCCUUCACCCCGACGAGGACGUCAGUCUCGAGGGGGGGUGUGUGUGAUGUCACGAGAGGCUGGGUCUUGGAAGGGAGACUUUUCCCUGCACAGUUUGAAGAAUGCCAAGGGGUCCCAGGGCCACUGUCCUACCUGAAAGGCAGGGGAGGAGAUGAGAUGGGGAGCGACUGGAGAAAGCCGCAGGGCAAGAAGAGCGGAGACGUUCAGGGGCAACGGGCAAAGGAGGACUGGGAGGUUCCGUCUGCCUGUGCCUCCCCUUGGUGAUUGAAGAGAUGAGCAGAAUAACCAUUUAAUUGUGAAUCUAUUUCUUGUGUGAAUUUAUCAAUGAUAUUGUCUUAAAAAUCACAGAUAGAUCCUGGAAAUGUUGAAUUUUUACAUUUUGUCACCUAGUUUUUUUCGCCCUGUUCACCUAUCCACUAACUCUAUAGUCCUUUCAGAUCCAUUCUCCGCCCCAGUGAACACUUGCGUGCACUUCCCUCACUUGAUACUCCCGCCCUGCUCACCUGCAGCUCGUUCCCACAUUACUCAUUCACUAUUUAGGUUCACUCACUUGCACCUGCCUCUUGCCACAUUGUAUUGUGUCCCUGCCAAGUUCUUCAGCAUGACAUUGCAGUCUGUCUCUGACCUUUUUCCUCUGACCCCUGGCUGCUGUUUUUUUACCUUCAAUUCUCUGCCUGCUCCUUUUCUUUGGUUUGCCUGUGUGACUGAUAUCCUGGUUUGCACCCUGCCUGUCAACCAAGCAAACCCACUUUGACAUAUUGUGCAUUUGGGUCAGACUACAGCUUAAACUUAGGUUUGUUUAUUCAAACACAAAUUUAACAGACCCUUGAUGUUCACACACCUCAUUUUCUUUUGCAUGUUUGUAAAAUGACCAGAAUAUCUUAUCGCUAUUGAAGAAGAAAAAGCAGACAACCACAGUUCGCUGUUGAUUUGACAAAGAAUGUUUGAUGUUUAUAUAAAAAAAAUGGAAAUUGAGCAAUCUGGGAUCCUGUCUACGAGAAGGGUCUCUUUUACCAGCUCCAGCAGACAAAGGCCCCACUCACACACCUUUUGUCUUAUUACCGUAAAUAGCCGGCGGGCUAGCUAACGCCCUGAGGAAGAUCCUCCAUUUGAGUGUCUUCCACUACCAAGGACCCGAUUUAAUGGUGAUAAGAGGUGGUGAAAUGGUUCAAACAUAAUACCUAAGUUAACACUGACAUUUAAAAAAACGAAAACAUUCCACUUGAAUGUUUGUACAGUCAGCUACAGACCGUGGAUCACUUUACCUGUGGACAGAACAGGAUAGCAGCUUUCCUAUUCGAAGUGCAGUGCUCAGAUCAGCUGGCCGGAUACAACAAUGUUAGAAUACAACAACACACAGGAAUACGGUGGAUAUACCGUAAAUCACAGACUAUAGAGCGCACCUGAAUAUAUGCAGCACCACCUAAAUUUAGAACGAAAAAAAGAUGUGCACAUAUAUACGCACCGGCCUAUAAACCGCAAGUGUCCACUCCAGUGACGUGCGGUCGCUGGAGGCAGUGCCUCCCCUUGUGUCAUCAUGAAAUAUGAAAAAAAAAAAUGUAUAUAUAUAUUUGUCCACUGAUCUGUGAUAGAUUAGAUUCAACUUUAUUGUCAUUGCACAAGUACUGAGGCAACGAAAUGCAGUUUAACAUCCAACCAGAGUGCAAAAUAGCAAAAAAUGUGCCAGUGUAAUUAUUAUGUGAAGUGAGUAUGUGAAGUGUAAUUAUUAGAUCAAUCAAUGCGAUCAUUGUUAUAGUUUAAAUGAAUUUGUAUUUUCAGCGACUAGCUGCGCCUCCUUCUCGGAUUGUGCAAUCCCUCAUAAACCAGAUUGAGCUGCUCAUGUUUUUGCCCAAUUUCAGCACGUGCAAUUAAUGUCUCUAUAUGUCACCAAUGUAAUGUUUGUAUCACAUGUCCUCACUCCCCAUAGUCUGGGUCCUGUAUUUCACGCAUGUUAGCUAAUCUGACGUAACGGCGCAGUAAGGAGGCAGCUGGACUGGCAGCUUUCUGCUUGUCACUGUUGUGGAGGCGGAGUCAGUACCUCUGCCUGUCUGAAGGGGGCGUGUGUGAGCACACGGGAUCCUUCCGCUGUUGUUUUUCUUCACGUAUCACAGACUGAUAGCAUAGUUAGCAUGUGCUAACUUAAUCACAGAUUUUCAAUAAUAAUGAAGUUUGCUUUCAAAGAAGUUCAUGUACUCUAUGUAAAGGUGUGUGCAUAUGAAGCUGUUCAAGUCCAGUUCCAGGCCUUCUCCAACCUCCAUCAUAUUGCAGUGCAUGCGGUUCUCCUGCUGUCACUGCUUCCUUCCCUACGUCUCACUCUUGUCUAUUCACGCCUCACUGUUUAUCUUUUACAAUAUCUUUGCUUAUUCUACCCAGUAUCUUUGCCCCCCAACUCCCCAUCAACCCUUCCUUUUGUAUUUAUUGCUGUAUUUAUUUCUGCUGAAAAGCCAGUCUAGUUCAUUUGCUAGUCGACCAGGCAGAGUAGGGCUCCUAUUCUUAGGCUUUUAUUAACAUCAUGGACUGCACAACAGCUACAGAAUCUAUUAUUCAUUAAGUGUAACCAAUAUAAAAUUUAAAACAGUCUGGGCUCUUUUUUUGGUGGAAAUAUGUAAGGUCAGCAUAAUUUUCUGCCUAUUACUAAUAUCUAUAUCAUCUUUUCCUUAGUCAGCUCCAUUUAAAUAUGCAAUCAUUUACAGCUUUUGACUAUAUGUGUGUGCACACCCAAUAUCCAAUAUUCCUCUACUAGACUUUUUAUGCUGACAUCAAUGGCAAGCUAUUAAAGACAGUAUUUCAUUAUUGGUUCUUCUUCCCCAGUGGUUAUUUACAAUCCCAUAUAUACUAAGCACUGAUAUUAAAGGAGACCAUUUUAAUGAGGUGCUAUCUGCCAUGGCAAUAUGUCUUUCUCCGAAUGAGAUUGUGUUUAAAGAUUUUAUCAAGAAAUGGCUGUUCGGCAGGGUUAUGUUUUGUCCAUGAAAUAUGCAUUUCAUAUCUCUUUCAUUUCAUUAACAUAAUUUAAUUUGUGCUUUGCAUUCUGUGCAUAAUACAUAUUUGAUUUACAAAACAAAUAUUUCCAUUAGAAAAUGAAUUUCAUGCGCGCAAAAGGCAGAACUGAAAGAUGUAUUGUAAAGAAGUAAGAGGAGAAAAGAAAACGAAUUGUAUUAUCUUUGACUCAGGGAAAAGAAGAAAUCAUUGGCAAGUAAAAAUACUCUCAAUAGAUUUCUUAUGUGUGUAUGCGUGGGGGGACACUCUGUUAUAUGUGCAUGUUUGUAUAGACAGUAUGUAAAUGGGAAAUAAAAGUCGUUGGUAUAUUGCAUGGAGUCUAGAGCCAUAUAACACAGAUUGAUUUACAUGACCUGCAUAGGGUUUCCCUCCCUGAUGUUAAGUUCACUCAUCAGAGUCACAUGACUUGUUUUGAAUCUUGAUUUUGUGUCCCUCCUUUUGAGAGUGAGACCUGUCUUAAGUGGGCAUUCUGUGGGGAGAAUCGUUGUGUGGGACGCGCACAUCAAGAGGCUUUAAUUUUUCCCAUCUCCAAGGUUU
This is a long non-coding RNA of Gasterosteus aculeatus aculeatus (three-spined stickleback), 5199 nucleotides long. NCBI's taxonomy places the organism in Eukaryota, Metazoa, Chordata, Actinopteri, Perciformes, Gasterosteidae. The record is from Ensembl.